RNAcentral lists this ribosomal RNA (381 nucleotides) under uncultured eukaryote. Its description in RNAcentral is "SSU rRNA". It matches the Rfam family "Eukaryotic small subunit ribosomal RNA", at positions 587 to 969 of the family's 1831-position model. The record is from RNAcentral.
AGCUCCAAUAGCGUAUAUUAAAGUUGUUGCGGUUAAAAAGCUCGUAGUUGGAUCUCGGUGGGCAAGGGGCGGUCCAUUUUUCGAUGGUCACUGCCUCAUUUGUCUGCGUUUUUGACAGAUGUUUGAGGGUCCUCUUGACUGAGUGUCCUCUGGCGCUGUCAGGUUUACUUUGAAAAAAUUAGAGUGCUCAAAGCAGGCUUUUAUGCUUGAAUAUUCGUGCAUGGAAUAAUGGAAUAGGAAAUUGGUCUUAUUUUGUUGGUUUUCGAGGCUGGUUUAAUGAUUAAUAGGGACAAUUGGGGGCAUUAGUAUUCAGGCGACAGAGGUGAAAUUCUUGGACCGUCUGAAGACUAACUACUGCGAAAGCAUUUGCCAAGAGUGUUU